UGGGGAAUCUUCCGCAAUGGGCGAAAGCCUGACGGAGCAAUGCCGCGUGAGUGAAGAAGGCCUUCGGGUUGUAAAACUCUGUCCUUAUCGAAGAGAGGUGGGUAUGUGAAUAAUGUACUCAUAGGACGGUAGAUAAGGAGGAAGCCCCGGCUAACUACGUGCCAGCAUCCGCGGUAAUACGUAGGGGGCGAGCGUUGUCCGGAAUCACUGGGCGUAAAGGGCGCGUAGGCGGUUUAAUAAGUCAGUGGUGAAAACUGAGGGCUCAACCCUCAGCCUGCCACUGAUACUGUUAGACUUGAGUAUGGAAGAGGAGAAUGGAAUUCCUAGUGUAGCGGUGAAAUGCGUAGAUAUUAGGAGGAACACCAGUGGCGAAGGCGAUUCUCUGGGCCAAGACUGACGCUGAGGCGCGAAAGCGUGGGGAGCAAACAGG
Molecule: ribosomal RNA, 430 nt
Filed under: uncultured bacterium
Lineage: Bacteria
Description: bacterial SSU rRNA
Rfam family: Bacterial small subunit ribosomal RNA
Source: RNAcentral